RNAcentral lists this ribosomal RNA (402 nucleotides) under uncultured bacterium. Its description in RNAcentral is "bacterial SSU rRNA". It matches the Rfam family "Bacterial small subunit ribosomal RNA", at positions 355 to 756 of the family's 1533-position model. The record is from RNAcentral.
UGAGGAAUAUUGGUCAAUGGACGCAAGUCUGAACCAGCGACGCCGCGUGCGGGAUGAAGGGGCUUAGCCUCGUAAACCGCUGUCAAGAGGGACGAGAGGGCGAUUUUGUCGUCCGGGACGGUACCUCUGAAGGAAGGAUCGGCUAACUACGUGCCAGCAGCCGCGGUAAUACGUAGGAUCCGAGCGUUGUCCGGAAUUACUGGGCGUAAAGGGUGCGUAGGCGGCAAUGUGCGUCAGAGGUGAAAUCCACGGGCUUAACUUGUGGGGUGCCUUUGAUACGGCAUAGCUUGAGUACGAGAGAGGUCGAUGGAAUUCCUGGUGUAGCAGUGAAAUGCGUAGAUAUCAGGAGGAACACCGGUGGCGAAGGCGGUCGGCUGGCUCGUAACUGACGCUGAGGCACGA